RNAcentral lists this ribosomal RNA (506 nucleotides) under uncultured bacterium. RNAcentral's name for it is "partial 16S ribosomal RNA". It matches the Rfam family "Bacterial small subunit ribosomal RNA", at positions 30 to 523 of the family's 1533-position model. The record is from RNAcentral.
AUUGAACGCUGGCGGCAGGCCUAACACAUGCAAGUCGAACGGUAACAGGAAGAAGCUUGCUUCUUUGCUGACGAGUGGCGGACGGGUGAGUAAUGUCUGGGAAACUGCCUGAUGGAGGGGGAUAACUACUGGAAACGGUAGCUAAUACCGCAUAACGUCGCAAGACCAAAGAGGGGGACCUUCGGGCCUCUUGCCAUCGGAUGUGCCCAGAUGGGAUUAGCUAGUUGGUGGGGUAACGGCUCACCAAGGCGACGAUCCCUAGCUGGUCUGAGAGGAUGACCAGCCACACGGGAACUGAGACACGGUCCAGACUCCUACGGGGGGCAGCAGUGGGGAAUAUUGCACAAUGGGCGCAAGCCUGAUGCAGCCAUGCCGCGUGUAUGAAGAAGGCCUUCGGGUUGUAAAGUACUUUCAGCGGGGAGGAAGGGAGUAAAGUUAAUACCUUUGCUCAUUGACGUUACCCGCAGAAGAAGCACCGGCUAACUCCGUGCCAGCCGCCGCAGUAA